Molecule: long non-coding RNA, 241 nt
Filed under: Homo sapiens (human)
Lineage: Eukaryota; Metazoa; Chordata; Mammalia; Primates; Hominidae
Description: HSALNT0139503
Source: RNAcentral
UAAUUCUCCAAAAUCAGCUUGCUCCUUGUUUCUCAGAGCCUUCAAAUAUGCUAUUUCCUGAAAAGGCAGCCUUUCACACUACUACCCCAUCCAACCCUGACCUCGUACCUUACCCAUCCUUCAGUUUUCAACACAAACUGCACUUCGUUAGGUAACUGGCCUCCUGACUGACCACUCACCACCACUACCACCACCACCAAACACUAGGUCAGUUCUCUAUCACAGAGUCUGUACCAUCCCU